This 517-nucleotide ribosomal RNA is filed under the name uncultured bacterium. RNAcentral's name for it is "bacterial SSU rRNA". It matches the Rfam family "Bacterial small subunit ribosomal RNA", at positions 153 to 645 of the family's 1533-position model. The record is from RNAcentral.
GAAACUGGAGCUAAUACCAAAUAAGACCACGAAGCCUCCGGGUUUUGUGGAAAAAGAUGGCCUCUUCUUGAAAGCUAUCGCCUGUUGAUGAGCCCGCGUCCCAUUAGCUUGUUGGUGAGGUAAAAGCUCACCAAGGCAUCGAUGGGUAGCUGGUCUGAGAGGAUGAUCAGCCACACUGGAACUGAGACACGGUCCAGACUCCUACGGGAGGCAGCAGUCGGGAAUCUUGCACAAUGGGCGAAAGUCUGAUGCAGCAACGCCGCGUGAGGGAUGAAGGCCCUCGGGUCGUAAACCUCUGUCGGGAGGGAAGAAACCAUGUCGGGUUAAUACCCCGGGAUGCUGACGGUACCUCCAAAGGAAGCGCCGGCUAACUCCGUGCCAGCAGCCGCGGUAAUACGGAGGGCGCAAGCGUUGUUCGGAAUCAUUGGGCGUAAAGCGCGUGUAGGCGGCUUGGCAAGUCGGAUGUGAAAAGCCCGGGGCUCAACCCNGGAAUUGCAUUCGAAACUGCCUCGCUUGA